UAACACAUCUGCCAUCUCAAACAGAUGUUUGGAGCCGUUCCUCCGAUCCGCUCCGGGAGUGCCAAUGUUGUGCUGUUGCCAUGGAGACGUGAACCACGCCCUCCGGUGGUGCAUGGAGGAGCUACACCAGCUGACUGUCGAGCAUCGUGAACCAAUCGGGGCGAGUGGGGAAUGUUCUCUGGAAUGACAAUUAAACGAAACAAAGACGAACCGGUGCAGUGAACCGGCACAAAUGAGAGGGUGAGCCGCUGCCAAGAGCCGUAACUGUGCAGAGAUUGAUUUUAUUCACUGUAAAAAUACAUGCAGGAGCGUCAGAUCUGGCGCUUAUCAUUCCAGACUAGAGACCGAUCUGAGCCGCAGUUACUCUGAGUUCGCCAACACUGACAGAACUAUCAAAAAAGUUAAUGAAUCAAGAUACAAUGACUCUUAAAAUACAUUUCAAACAAGAAAACUUCCAAAAAGUUCUAAAAUUGAGAUACUAGAAGAUCGAGAUGCA
RNAcentral lists this long non-coding RNA (496 nucleotides) under Danio rerio (zebrafish). RNAcentral describes it as "lncRNA (ENSDARG00000117737.1)". Lineage: Eukaryota; Metazoa; Chordata; Actinopteri; Cypriniformes; Danionidae. The record is from RNAcentral.